This 565-nucleotide ribosomal RNA is filed under the name uncultured ciliate. RNAcentral's name for it is "SSU rRNA". It matches the Rfam family "Eukaryotic small subunit ribosomal RNA", at positions 397 to 972 of the family's 1831-position model. Lineage: Eukaryota; Ciliophora. The record is from RNAcentral.
UGAGAAAUGGCUACCACAUCUAAGGAAGGCAGCAGGCGUGUAAAUUACCCAAUCCUAAUUCAGGGAGGUAGUGACAAGAAAUAACAACUCGGGCCCCACUUGGGGUUGCGAGAUUGCAAUGAGAACAAUUUAAACCACUUAUCGAGUAACAAUUGGAGGGCAAGUCUGGUGCCAGCAGCCGCGGUAAUUCCAGCUCCAAUAGCGUAUAUUAAAGUUGUUGCAGUUAAAAAGCUCGUAGUUGAAUUUCAGGCCGGCGCUGUUCACGGCUCUCGCAGUCGGUUCAGGAGCCUGGUCAUCCGUAUGGGAAGCAAGCUCGUCCUUCAGUGGUCGGCUAGUGGAUCAUACACUUUACUUUGAAAAAAUUAGAGUGUUUCAGGCAGGCAAUUGCUUGGAUACUGCAGCAUGGAAUAAUGGAAUAGGACUUUGACCUAUUUGUUGGUUUCUUGAGGUCAAAGUAAUGAUUAAUAGGGACAGUUGGGGGCAUCCGUAUUUAAUUGUCAGAGGUGAAAUUCUUGGAUUUAUUAAAGACGAACUUAUGCGAAAGCAUUUGCCAAGGAUGUUUUCA